GACGAACGCUGGCGGCGUGCUUAACACAUGCAAGUCGAACGGUAAGGCUCCAGCUUGCAGGGGUACACGAGUGGCGAACGGGUGAGUAACACGUGGGUGACCUGCCCUGCACUUCGGGAUAAGCCUGGGAAACUGGGUCUAAUACCGGAUAGGACCGCACCGUGAGGGUGUGGUGGAAAGUUUUUUCGGUGUGGGAUGGGCCCGCGGCCUAUCAGCUUGUUGGUGGGGUAAUGGCCUACCAAGGCGGCGACGGGUAGCCGGCCUGAGAGGGUGGACGGCCACAUUGGGACUGAGACACGGCCCAGACUCCUACGGGAGGCAGCAGUGGGGAAUAUUGCACAAUGGGCGGAAGCCUGAUGCAGCGACGCCGCGUGGGGGAUGACGGCCUUCGGGUUGUAAACUCCUUUCACCAUCGACGAAGGGUUUCUGACGGUAGAUGGAGAAGAAGCACCGGCUAACUACGUGCCAGCAGCCGCGGUAAUACGUAGGGUGCGAGUGUUGUCCGGAAUUACUGGGCGUAAAGAGCUCGUAGGUGGUUUGUCGCGUCGUCUGUGAAGUUCCGGGGCUUAACUCCGGGCGUGCAGGCGAUACGGGCAUAACUUGAGUACUGUAGGGGAGACUGGAAUUCCUGGUGUAGCGGUGAAAUGCGCAGAUAUCAGGAGGAACACCGGUGGCGAAGGCGGGUCUCUGGGCAGUGACUGACGCUGAGGAGCGAAAGCAUGGGGAGCGAACAGGAUUAGAUACCCUGGUAGUCCAUGCCGUAAACGGUGGGCGCUAGGUGUGGGUUUCCUUCCACGGGAUCCGUGCCGUAGCUAACGCAUUAAGCGCCCCGCCUGGGGAGUACGGCCGCAAGGCUAAAACUCAAAGGAAUUGACGGGGGCCCGCACAAGCGGCGGAGCAUGUGGAUUAAUUCGAUGCAACGCGAAGAACCUUACCUGGGCUUGACAUAUACAGGAUCGCGCCAGAGAUGGUGUUUCCCUUGUGGCUUGUAUACAGGUGGUGCAUGGUUGUCGUCAGCUCGUGUCGUGAGAUGUUGGGUUAAGUCCCGCAACGAGCGCAACCCUUGUCUUAUGUUGCCAGCACGUUGUGGUGGGGACUCGUAAGAAACUGCCGGGGUUAACUCGGAGGAAGGUGGGGAUGACGUCAAAUCAUCAUGCCCCUUAUGUCCAGGGCUUCACACAUGCUACAAUGGUCGGUACAGUGGGUUGCCAGUCCGUGAGGGCGAGCUAAUCCCGCAAAGCCGGCCUCAGUUCGGAUCGGGGUCUGCAACUCGACCCCGUGAAGUCGGAGUCGCUAGUAAUCGCAGAUCAGCAACGCUGCGGUGAAUACGUUCCCGGGCCU
This 1341-nucleotide ribosomal RNA is filed under the name uncultured bacterium. RNAcentral's name for it is "16S ribosomal RNA". It matches the Rfam family "Bacterial small subunit ribosomal RNA", at positions 28 to 1381 of the family's 1533-position model. The record is from RNAcentral.